UCAUUAAAUCAGUUAUGGUUCCUUAGAUCGUACCCACAUUUACUUGGAUAACUGUGGUAAUUCUAGAGCUAAUACAUGCAAACAGAGUUCCGACCGGAGACGGGAGGAAUGCUUUUAUUAGAUCAAAACCAAUCGGCGUCGGGCGCGCUCGCGCGUCCGUUCGCCGCUCAACUUGGUGACUCUGAAUAACUUUCGGCUGAUCGCACGGUCUCGCACCGGCGACGCAUCUUUCAAAUGUCUGCCUUAUCAACUGUCGAUGGUAGGUUCUGCGCCUACCAUGGUCGUAACGGGUAACGGGGAAUCAGGGUUCGAUUCCGGAGAGGGAGCCUGAGAAACGGCUACCACAUCCAAGGAAGGCAGCAGGCGCGCAAAUUACCCACUCCCGGCACGGGGAGGUAGUGACGAAAAAUAACGAUACGGGACUCAUCCGAGGCCCCGUAAUCGGAAUGAGUACACUUUAAAUCCUUUAACGAGGAUCAAUUGGAGGGCAAGUCUGGUGCCAGCAGCCGCGGUAAUUCCAGCUCCAAUAGCGUA
RNAcentral lists this ribosomal RNA (534 nucleotides) under Agabus ruwenzoricus. Its description in RNAcentral is "SSU rRNA". It matches the Rfam family "Eukaryotic small subunit ribosomal RNA", at positions 98 to 601 of the family's 1831-position model. The record is from RNAcentral. Lineage: Eukaryota; Metazoa; Arthropoda; Insecta; Coleoptera; Dytiscidae.